RNAcentral lists this ribosomal RNA (420 nucleotides) under Fusobacteriota bacterium. RNAcentral describes it as "Fusobacteria bacterium partial 16S ribosomal RNA". It matches the Rfam family "Bacterial small subunit ribosomal RNA", at positions 355 to 776 of the family's 1533-position model. The record is from RNAcentral. Lineage: Bacteria; Fusobacteriati; Fusobacteriota.
UGGGGGAUAUUGCACAAUGGGCGAAAGCCUGAUGCAGCGACGCCGCGUGGGGGAUGAAGGCCUUCGGGUUGUAAACUUCUUUUGCUCUGAACAAGGCAUGCCUUUGGGGUGUGUUGAGUGUAGGGGUUGAUUAGCGCCGGCUAACUACGUGCCAGCAGCCGCGGUAAUACGUAGGGCGCGAGCGUUGUCCGGAAUUAUUGGGCGUAAAGGGCUUGUAGGUGGCUGGUUGCGUCUGUCGUGAAAGCUCAUGGCUUAACUGUGGGUUUGCGGUGGGUACGGGCUGGCUUGAGUGCAGUAGAGGAGGCUGGAAUUCCUGGUGUAGCGGUGGAAUGCGCAGAUAUCAGGAGGAAUACCGGUGGCGAAGGCGGGUCUCUGGGCUGUUACUGACGCUGAGGAGCGAAAGCGUGGGGAGCGAACAGG